This is a non-coding RNA of Pristionchus pacificus, 61 nucleotides long. The record is from Rfam. NCBI's taxonomy places the organism in Eukaryota, Metazoa, Nematoda, Chromadorea, Rhabditida, Neodiplogasteridae.
UCUUUAUUUCACGUGCUCUCUCACCGGUCAGAGAGGCGAGAGAGCAUGUGAAAUGAGGAGA